UACGUAGGGGGCUAGCGUUGCUCGGAAUCACUGGGCGUAAAGCGCACGUAGGCGGAUCGUUAAGUCAGGGGUGAAAUCCUGGAGCUCAACUCCAGAACUGCCUUUGAUACUGGCGACCUUGAGUUCGGGAGAGGUGAGUGGAACUGCGAGUGUAGAGGUGAAAUUCGUAGAUAUUCGCAAGAACACCAGUGGCGAAGGCGGCUCACUGGCCCGAUACUGACGCUGAGGUGCGAAAGCGUGGGGAGCAAACAGG
Molecule: ribosomal RNA, 253 nt
Filed under: uncultured bacterium
Lineage: Bacteria
Description: partial 16S ribosomal RNA
Rfam family: Bacterial small subunit ribosomal RNA
Source: RNAcentral